CAGCCGCCGCGGUAAUACGUAGGUGGCAAGCGUUGUCCGGAAUUAUUGGGCGUAAAGGGCUCGCAGGCGGUUUCUUAAGUCUGAUGUGAAAGCCCCCGGCUCAACCGGGGAGGGUCAUUGGAAACUGGGAAGCUUGAGUGCAGAAGAGGAGAGUGGAAUUCCACGUGUAGCGGUGAAAUGCGUAGAGAUGUGGAGGAACACCAGUGGCGAAGGCGACUCUCUGGUCUGUAACUGACGCUGAGGAGCGAAAGCGUGGGGAGCGAACAGGAUUAGAUACCCCUGUAGUCCCCUGUCUCUUAUA
RNAcentral lists this ribosomal RNA (301 nucleotides) under uncultured bacterium. RNAcentral describes it as "partial 16S ribosomal RNA". It matches the Rfam family "Bacterial small subunit ribosomal RNA", at positions 509 to 808 of the family's 1533-position model. The record is from RNAcentral.